UACGUAGGGGGCAAGCGUUGUCCGGAUUUACUGGGCGUAAAGAGCGCGCAGGCGGUCGUUCAAGUCGCGUGUGAAAGCCCCCGGCUCAACUGGGGAGGGUCACGCGAUACUGAUCGACUCGAAGGCAGGAGAGGGUAGUGGAAUUCCCGGUGUAGUGGUGAAAUUCGUAGAUAUUCGGAAGAACACCAGUGGCGAAGGCGACUUACUGGACACAUAUUGACGCUGAGGUGCGAAAGCGUGGGGAGCAAACAGG
This 253-nucleotide ribosomal RNA is filed under the name uncultured bacterium. RNAcentral's name for it is "partial 16S ribosomal RNA". It matches the Rfam family "Bacterial small subunit ribosomal RNA", at positions 524 to 776 of the family's 1533-position model. The record is from RNAcentral.